RNAcentral lists this unclassified non-coding RNA (313 nucleotides) under uncultured Clonostachys. Its description in RNAcentral is "sequence contains ITS1". The stretch from base 1 to 105 matches the Rfam family "5.8S ribosomal RNA", at positions 50 to 154 of the family's 154-position model. The record is from RNAcentral. Lineage: Eukaryota; Fungi; Ascomycota; Sordariomycetes; Hypocreales; Bionectriaceae.
GAAAUGCGAUAAGUAAUGUGAAUUGCAGAAUUCAGUGAAUCAUCGAAUCUUUGAACGCACAUUGCGCCCGCCAGUAUUCUGGCGGGCAUGCCUGUCUGAGCGUCAUUUCAACCCUCAUGCCCCUAGGGCGUGGUGUUGGGGAUCGGCCAAAGCCCGCGAGGGACGGCCGGCCCCUAAAUCUAGUGGCGGACCCGUCGUGGCCUCCUCUGCGAAGUAGUGAUAUUCCGCAUCGGAGAGCGAUGAGCCCCUGCCGUUAAACCCCCAACUUUCUAAGGUUGACCUCAGAUCAGGUAGGAAUACCCGCUGAACUUAA